GAUGAACCACGCAAAUAGUGCAGUGAAGGGAGUUGUGGAAUCUAUAGCAAAUGCAGACUCUCACGCAUGCUUUAGACUUAUGCAACUCCAUGUGAAAUUCGUGUUUUACCACAUUAUCGUCUGGUAUAUAUUUUUUGAAGAUACUUAGUGCGGUUCCUAUUUUAUGGAUGCAAUUCUAAUGAUAUUUUGUGUACACAGGAUCUAAGGGAAAUGCUGCAAAUGCAUGAGACUCUAGGCAAAAGAAAAUACAUAGUUUUUGGGUCUCAUCAUACUCCAAAUAAAGAACAUGUCAAUUUCAUUCCGCCGAAAAAAAAAAUUAGAAGCGCCAAUUGUAUCUUUUUACAAUACAUGUGAGAUUUUGAUCGCAUGAAAGAAGAGAUCUCAUAUCUGAUAAGCAUUCAGAGGAUAUGGAAAAAAUAAAGAAAAAGAAGUAAAAGUUUAAGACAAUAAAGAAACAUAAGGAAAACACAAGGAAGAAGAAAAAUCAAAGGUAAAGAAGACGAAAAAGAAGA
This 512-nucleotide long non-coding RNA is filed under the name Eutrema salsugineum. RNAcentral describes it as "long non-coding RNA (ESAL_LNC000126)". Lineage: Eukaryota; Viridiplantae; Streptophyta; Magnoliopsida; Brassicales; Brassicaceae. The record is from RNAcentral.